GGCAUGUCCACCACAUGUGGAUGUAUGAUCCUCUCUCACCACAGCCUCUCCAGCAAGUAUCUGUGGUGGUUUUCCCCAUUCUAUAUAGUUUGGCCGGGGUGGCGUACCACCUCAGGAGGGUUUUAUAUGUCUGUUCCUGAAGUGUUACGCAUAUGGAGACUUUGGCCGUCGCUUCCUAUAUAUCCCUCCAGUCCUCCCCUUCCA
This is a non-coding RNA of Pelobates cultripes (western spadefoot toad), 204 nucleotides long. Lineage: Eukaryota; Metazoa; Chordata; Amphibia; Anura; Pelobatidae. The record is from the annotation of a GenBank genome assembly.